UGCAAGUCGAGCGGACAGAUGGGAGCUUGCUCCCUGAUGUUAGCGGCGGACGGGUGAGUAACACGUGGGUAACCUGCCUGUAAGACUGGGAUAACUCCGGGAAACCGGGGCUAAUACCGGAUGCUUGUUUGAACCGCAUGGUUCAAACAUAAAAGGUGGCUUCGGCUACCACUUACAGAUGGACCCGCGGCGCAUUAGCUAGUUGGUGAGGUAACGGCUCACCAAGGCAACGAUGCGUAGCCGACCUGAGAGGGUGAUCGGCCACACUGGGACUGAGACACGGCCCAGACUCCUACGGGAGGCAGCAGUAGGGAAUCUUCCGCAAUGGACGAAAGUCUGACGGAGCAACGCCGCGUGAGUGAUGAAGGUUUUCGGAUCGUAAAGCUCUGUUGUUAGGGAAGAACAAGUACCGUUCGAAUAGGGCGGUACCUUGACGGUACCUAACCAGAAAGCCACGGCUAACUACGUGCCAGCAGCCGCGGUAAUACGUAGGUGGCAAGCGUUGUCCGGAAUUAUUGGGCGUAAAGGGCUCGCAGGCGGUUCCUUAAGUCUGAUGUGAAAGCCCCCGGCUCAACCGGGGAGGGUCAUUGGAAACUGGGGAACUUGAGUGCAGAAGAGGAGAGUGGAAUUCCACGUGUAGCGGUGAAAUGCGCAGAUAUCGGGGGGAACACCCAC
Molecule: ribosomal RNA, 675 nt
Filed under: Bacillus sp. SCULCB PT-15
Lineage: Bacteria; Bacillati; Bacillota; Bacilli; Caryophanales; Bacillaceae
Description: bacterial SSU rRNA
Rfam family: Bacterial small subunit ribosomal RNA
Source: RNAcentral